This 76-nucleotide transfer RNA is filed under the name Candidatus Bathyarchaeota archaeon. Its description in RNAcentral is "tRNA-Val". It matches the Rfam family "tRNA". From Rfam's summary of the family: Transfer RNA (tRNA) molecules are approximately 80 nucleotides in length. Lineage: Archaea; Thermoproteati; Candidatus Bathyarchaeota. The record is from RNAcentral.
GGGCCGGUCGUCUAGCCCGGUCUAGGACGUCCGCCUUACACGCGGAGGGUCGUGGGUUCAAAUCCCACCCGGCCCA